GAUGAACGCUGGCGGCGUGCCUAAUACAUGCAAGUCGAGCGAACGGACGAGAAGCUUGCUUUUCUGAUGUUAGCGGCGGACGGGUGAGUAACACGUGGAUAACCUACCUAUAAGACUGGGAUAACUUCGGGAAACCGGAGCUAAUACCGGAUAAUAUUUUGAACCGCAUGGUUCAAAAGUGAAAGACGGUCUUGCUGUCACUUAUAGAUGGAUCCGCGCUGCAUUAGCUAGUUGGUAAGGUAACGGCUUACCAAGGCAACGAUGCAUAGCUGACCUGAGAGGGUGAUCGGCCACACUGGAACUGAGACACGGUCCAGACUCCUACGGGAGGCAGCAGUAGGGAAUCUUCCGCAAAGGGCGAAAGCCUGACGGAGCAACGCCGCGUGAGUGAUGAAGGUCUUCGGAUCGUAAAACUCUGUUAUUAGGGAAGAACAUAUGUGUAAGUAACUGUGCACAUCUUGACGGUACCUAAUCAGAAAGCCGCGGCUAACUACGUG
This 497-nucleotide ribosomal RNA is filed under the name uncultured bacterium. RNAcentral's name for it is "partial 16S ribosomal RNA". It matches the Rfam family "Bacterial small subunit ribosomal RNA", at positions 28 to 507 of the family's 1533-position model. The record is from RNAcentral.